GACGAACGCUGGCGGCGUGCCUAAUACAUGCAAGUCGAGCGAACCAAUAAGAAGCUUGCUUUUUGUUGGUUAGCGGCGGACGGGUGAGUAACACGUGGGUAACCUGCCUGUAAGACCGGGAUAACUCCGGGAAACCGGUGCUAAUACCGGAUAGAUUAUCUUUCCGCAUGGAGAGAUAAGGAAAGAUGGCUAUUGCCAUCACUUACAGAUGGGCCCGCGGCGCAUUAGCUAGUUGGUGAGGUAACGGCUCACCAAGGCGACGAUGCGUAGCCGACCUGAGAGGGUGAUCGGCCACACUGGGACUGAGACACGGCCCAGACUCCUACGGGAGGCAGCAGUAGGGAAUCUUCCGCAAAGGACGAAAGUCUGACGGAGCAACGCCGCGUGAGCGAUGAAGGUCUUCGGAUCGUAAAGCUCUGUUGUUAGGGAAGAACAAGUAUCGGAGGAAAUGCCGGUACCUUGACGGUACCUGACGAGAAAGCCACGGCUAACUACGUG
This 498-nucleotide ribosomal RNA is filed under the name uncultured bacterium. Its description in RNAcentral is "partial 16S ribosomal RNA". It matches the Rfam family "Bacterial small subunit ribosomal RNA", at positions 28 to 507 of the family's 1533-position model. The record is from RNAcentral.